CACGGCCAUAUCGCGUUGAAAUCACAGUUCCCGUACAAUCACCGAAGUUGGGACUGGUUAGUACUUAGAUGAGUGACCUCUUGGGAAUACCUGGUGCUGUAAG
Non-coding RNA from Acanthosepion pharaonis, 103 nucleotides. NCBI's taxonomy places the organism in Eukaryota, Metazoa, Mollusca, Cephalopoda, Sepiida, Sepiidae. The record is from the annotation of a GenBank genome assembly.